Molecule: ribosomal RNA, 229 nt
Filed under: uncultured bacterium
Lineage: Bacteria
Description: partial 16S ribosomal RNA
Rfam family: Bacterial small subunit ribosomal RNA
Source: RNAcentral
UCCGUAGGCGGGCAAUUAAGUCAGAGGUGAAAUCCCACAGCUCAACUGUGGAACUGCCUUUGAUACUGGUUGUCUUGAGUUAUAGUGAAGUAGAUAGAAUAUGUAGUGUAGCGGUGAAAUGCAUAGAUAUUACAUAGAAUACCGAUUGCGAAGGCAGUCUACUAAUUGUAUACUGACGCUAAUGGACGAAAGCGUGGGGAGCGAACAGGAUUAGAUACCCUGGUAGUCC